UACGUAGGUGGCAAGCGUUGUCCGGAAUUAUUGGGCGUAAAGCGCGCGCAGGCGGUUUCUUAAGUCUGAUGUGAAAGCCCACGGCUCAACCGUGGAGGGUCAUUGGAAACUGGGGAACUUGAGUGCAGGAGAGAAGAGUGGAAUUCCACGUGUAGCAGUGAAAUGCGUAGAGAUGUGGAGGCACACCGAUGGCGAAGGCAGCCCCCUGGGCUAAGAUUGACGCUCAUGCACGAAAGCGUGGGGAGCAAACAGG
This 253-nucleotide ribosomal RNA is filed under the name uncultured bacterium. Its description in RNAcentral is "partial 16S ribosomal RNA". It matches the Rfam family "Bacterial small subunit ribosomal RNA", at positions 524 to 776 of the family's 1533-position model. The record is from RNAcentral.